RNAcentral lists this ribosomal RNA (480 nucleotides) under uncultured bacterium. Its description in RNAcentral is "bacterial SSU rRNA". It matches the Rfam family "Bacterial small subunit ribosomal RNA", at positions 30 to 506 of the family's 1533-position model. The record is from RNAcentral.
UUGGACGCUGGCGGCAUGCCUUACACAUGCAAGUCGAACGGUAACAGGUCUUCGGAUGCUGACAAGUGGCGAACGGGUGAGUAAUACAUCGGAACGUGCCCGAUCGUGGGGGAUAACGCAGCGAAAGCUGUGCUAAUACCGCAUACGAUCUACGGAUGAAAGCGGGGGAUCGCAAGACCUCGCGCGGACGGAGCGGCCGAUGGCAGAUUAGGUAGUUGGUGGGAUAAAAGCUUACCAAGCCGACGAUCUGUAGCUGGUCUGAGAGGACGACCAGCCACACUGGAACUGAGACACGGUCCAGACUCCUACGGGAGGCAGCAGUGGGGAAUUUUGGACAAUGGGGGCAACCCUGAUCCAGCCAUGCCGCGUGAGUGAAGAAGGCCUUCGGGUUGUAAAGCUCUUUCGGCCGGGAAGAAAUCGUAUCAGCUAAUACCUGGUGCGGAUGACGGUACCGGCAUAAGAAGCACCGGCUAACUACGU